This 1589-nucleotide long non-coding RNA is filed under the name Malus domestica (apple). RNAcentral's name for it is "long non-coding RNA (MDOM_LNC019446)". Lineage: Eukaryota; Viridiplantae; Streptophyta; Magnoliopsida; Rosales; Rosaceae. The record is from RNAcentral.
AAACCGUUAUUUCCUAUUGGGCGUUGGACCCAACUAUUCCAAUUUGCAUACAUUUAAACAAAAAGGAAUACUUGAAAUAAAGAGAAGGGCUUAUGCCCUUUUACAACACAUUUGAUGGACUUAUGUCCAUUUACAACAAAUUGAACUAAUCAAAUUACAUUCAAAUCUAAACUACUUAACCCAAACAUUCAUAAUGUAAAGCGGCCAAUCACAUAGCUCAAUUAUCGAGGCCUUUGGUUCAUAAUCACCCUUUUCUUAAUCAAUCAUAUUAACUAAGAAAGCAACUUAAACAAUUGGUUUCGGAUUCAUAGAAUUGAUUUCAAUGGAACUAAUUGAAAUGAAAAUCCAAUUCUCAUUAAAGAGACAAAACCAUUUUGUUCUCAUCUUAUUUGGGCCAAAAACAGUGACCUCAACAAUUGGGCCAUUAUUUAAUAAACAAAAACUUUUGGGGUCACUUUGUAAAAACACAAGAGUCCACAACUUCAUGUAAUUACAACUAGAACCCAAAAUUUUAACAAUGUAAAAACAUCAUUAAAGGAGCAAAACAAUUUGUCCUUUAGAGUUUUUGGGCCUUAACGUAAAAACGUAAACUUUUGGGUCAAAGUGCAAAUACACAAAAGUAUCAAAAACUUUAUGUAAUUGCAUAAAAGGCCCCAAAAGUACCCCCACUAGGGGGUGGCCGGUUUUAGGUGUGAAAAGGAGGUGUGAAAAGGUUUUGGUGAAAACUCAAAAAAAAUUUUAAAAAAUCUAGUGCAAGUGGUUUAUGCAAGUGGUGAGGAUAAAGGUUGAUUUGUGAAGGGUGUAAGAAAAAUGUUUUGUGAACAUUAAUGGCAUUUAAUCACCCAUCACCAAUCAUCCAUCACCUUUCAUAAAUAAACCAAAACUUUAUUAAAACCACCAAACAUUUUGAAUCAAAACUCCAAACCUUUUUGUUCUUGGUAAGAAACUCAAGAACAUUGAAGAACACACAUGAAAACUCAUAAGAGUUCCAUGGAUGUUUUCACACAAUAAAACUCAUAUUUUCACAACACAAAAGAGGGUUAAUAUCCUAGGGUACUUAGGGGUUCCAAAAGUCACUUUAAAACCAUUUUAACAAGACAAACAAGAACCCAAAAAUCCACCCUUUGGAUUUGGACGAAUUUCCCAACAUUCAUGGCACCAAAUUUAGUUCCAAUAUUCAUGCUUAAAUGAACUACAUCUACAACAUUUGAGAUGCUAAAUUUUCAAGCAAAAUUUAUAUUCAAAAGCAAGAACAAAGCUUGUAACAUUUACAACAUUUAAAUCACAAAUCAUGAAAAUCACAAAACCCAAAGGGAUUCACCAUAAACUAGACCUAGGCUCUGAUACCACUUGAAGGAAAAAUUUUGUCCUAGCUAAGAACAUGUGAGAAUAUUUGAAUACAUAUGCAAACUAUUAAAACAUUAAAGUAGGCAUGCAUUCAAAACAAUUCAUAAAACCCAUGACUUUCAAAGCCUAGUGAAUGGUGAACCAACAAACUCUUUAACAACAUUAAAGAAAAUAAAAGAUUUAGAGAUUCUUUACCCUUGAAGCUCAUCCUUGAUUACACAAGGGAUUCACCCAAGUGGAGG